Bemisia tabaci is the source of this 752-nucleotide non-coding RNA. NCBI's taxonomy places the organism in Eukaryota, Metazoa, Arthropoda, Insecta, Hemiptera, Aleyrodidae. The record is from RefSeq and is a predicted model, not a curated record.
ACUGGCGACUUGGACGGUCAACCGUUGGAAUUCGGCGAUUUACCCCGAAUCUCCACCGCGGCGGUGCGUUUUCGGGGGUUCGGCACUCUCAACGUUGUGACGGACCGCCGCCAUAUUUGUUUACGAAACCAAGCCUACCGAUCGCAUGCCCAAGCAUCGUGUGCUGAUCGAUUAUAGUAUAAUAAUUCAAAAUUAAUUUUAUCGUUUCAGUCGUUCCAUUUUAGCCUCAAUAAGCUAAGCUCACCGUUACGCGAACUAUUUUCCAGACCAAGUGCAAAUAACUGAGAGGAUAAAUGCAUAAAUAUCUCUUGACGCUUGCUGCCUGUUGGGCUGAUUGUUUUAUUUGUGUUGGGGUCAGAACAAAGCUGAAUCAAUGGCUUUUCUAGUUCAGAGGUAAGGAAUUUAUCUCAAGAGAAUAAUUUGAUUCUGUUGUGCAGCCUCUUAUAACACAGCCAGACCUAAAGUCCACAUGCUUCUUUUAAGGUCAGAAAGGUCUUUAAAGAAGUCAAUAUAAGUGAAAAUUUUUUUUCGGGCCCUCAGCUACUUUAUCUGCAAAGUGAAAUCUACAUUUUAACCAUUCAUGCUAGAUAUUCCAGAGAAAUUGGUCAGUGAUGAGUCUAAGUGUGUAGACUCUGAUGGAAAAUCCACCGGACAAUGACGCUGGUGUUUUGAAGACAGUUACAAAAAAAACAAAUGUUUGCAAAUGCGUAACAGACAAGUAUCGAAAUCUGAAGUCUACCAUAAACGUACGA